RNAcentral lists this ribosomal RNA (254 nucleotides) under uncultured bacterium. RNAcentral describes it as "partial 16S ribosomal RNA". It matches the Rfam family "Bacterial small subunit ribosomal RNA", at positions 524 to 776 of the family's 1533-position model. The record is from RNAcentral.
UACGUAGGGUCCGAGCGUUGUCCGGAUUUAUUGGGCGUAAAGAGCUCGUGGGCGGCUUGCUAAGUCAGGCGUGAAACCUCCAGGCUCAACCUGGAGCCGCCACCUGAUACUGGUAUGGCUAGAGUCCGGUAGGGGACCACGGAAUUCCUGGUGUAGCGGUGAAAUGCGCAGAUAUCAGGAGGAACACCGGUGGCGAAGGCGGGUCUCUGGGCCGAUACUGACGCUGAGGAGCGAAAGCGUGGGGAGCGAACAGG